GUCAGUAACCCAGCCCUAAAGGGACUGGGCUUGCAAGAGUAAUCAAGCAAGCCGUACUGACCAGACCACCCUGAGUUUACUCUCAUGGUAGCCGUUAUUUGAGUCACGACACCCCGGAAUGCGAAGCUAGUUCCCUGCUCUGUCAUUUGCAAUUAAACAGUUUUAAGGUCACUGAAACAGUGUUGCAAGUCUAAAAAGCUCUUAUAACAAGUCGAAGCUAACAUUAC
Aphanizomenon flos-aquae is the source of this 227-nucleotide non-coding RNA. The record is from Rfam. NCBI's taxonomy places the organism in Bacteria, Bacillati, Cyanobacteriota, Cyanophyceae, Nostocales, Aphanizomenonaceae.